ACGCUCGACACCUACGGGAGGCAGCAGUGGGAAUAUUGCACAAUGGGGGAAACCCUGAUGCAGCGACGCCGCGUGAAGGAAGAAGUAUCUCGGUAUGUAAACUUCUAUCAGCAGGGAAGAAAAUGACGGUAUCUGACUAAGAAGCCCCGGCUAACUACGUGCCACAGCCGCGGUAAUCUGAGCGGGCUGGCAAGGC
This 196-nucleotide ribosomal RNA is filed under the name uncultured bacterium. Its description in RNAcentral is "partial 16S ribosomal RNA". It matches the Rfam family "Bacterial small subunit ribosomal RNA", at positions 328 to 539 of the family's 1533-position model. The record is from RNAcentral.